This 496-nucleotide ribosomal RNA is filed under the name uncultured bacterium. RNAcentral describes it as "partial 16S ribosomal RNA". It matches the Rfam family "Bacterial small subunit ribosomal RNA", at positions 28 to 506 of the family's 1533-position model. The record is from RNAcentral.
GAUGAACGCUGGCGGCGUGCCUAAUACAUGCAAGUCGAGCGAACAGACGAGGAGCUUGCUCCUCUGACGUUAGCGGCGGACGGGUGAGUAACACGUGGAUAACCUACCUAUAAGACUGGGAUAACUUCGGGAAACCGUAGCUAAUACCGGAUAAUAUAUUGAACCGCAUGGUUCAAUAGUGAAAGACGGUUUUGCUGUCACUUAUAGAUGGAUCCGCGCCGCAUUAGCUAGUUGGCAAGGUAACGGCUUACCAAGGCAACGAUCCGUAGCCGACCGGAGAGGGGGAUCGGCCACACUGGAACUGAGACACGGCCCAGACUCCUACGGGAGGCAGCAGUAGGGAAUCUUCAGCAAUGGGCGAAAGCCUGACGGAGAAACGCCGCGGGAGUGAUGAAGGUCUUCGGAUCGUAAAACUCUGUUAUCAGGGAAGAACAAAUGUGUAAGUAACUAUGCAGGUAUGGACGGUACCGAAGCAGAAAGCCACGGCUAACUACGG